CGUCCAGACUCCUACGGGAGGCAGCAGUGGGGAAUAUUGCACAAUGGGCGAAAGCCUGAUGCAGCAACGCCGCGUGAAGGAAGACGGUUUUCGGAUUGUAAACUUCUGUUCUUAGUGAAGAAUAAUGACGGUAACUAAGGAGCAAGCCACGGCUAACUACGUGCCAGCAGCCGCGGUAAUACGUAGGGAGCAAGCGUUGUCCGGAAUUACUGGGCGUAAAGGGCGCGUAGGUGGGCGCUUAAGUCAGGUGUGAAAACUCCGGGCUCAACCUGGAGACUGCACUUGAAACUGGGUGUCUUGAGGGCAGGAGAGGAAAGUGGAAUUCCUAGUGUAGCGGUGAAAUGCGUAGAUAUUAGGAGGAACACCAGUGGCGAAGGCGACUUUCUGGACUGUACCUGACGCUGAGGCGCGAAAGCGUGGGUAGCGAACGGGAUUAGAUACCCUCGUAA
This 449-nucleotide ribosomal RNA is filed under the name uncultured bacterium. RNAcentral describes it as "bacterial SSU rRNA". It matches the Rfam family "Bacterial small subunit ribosomal RNA", at positions 328 to 793 of the family's 1533-position model. The record is from RNAcentral.